GCCUGGGUGGCUCAGUGGUUGAGCGACCGACUUCAACUCAGGUCAUGAUCUCACAGCUUGUGAGUUCGAGCCCCACGUCGGGCU
RNAcentral lists this transfer RNA (84 nucleotides) under Felis catus (domestic cat). It matches the Rfam family "tRNA". From Rfam's summary of the family: Transfer RNA (tRNA) molecules are approximately 80 nucleotides in length. Their secondary structure includes four short double-helical elements and three loops (D, anti-codon, and T loops). Lineage: Eukaryota; Metazoa; Chordata; Mammalia; Carnivora; Felidae. The record is from Rfam by way of RNAcentral.